This 466-nucleotide ribosomal RNA is filed under the name uncultured bacterium. RNAcentral describes it as "partial 16S ribosomal RNA". It matches the Rfam family "Bacterial small subunit ribosomal RNA", at positions 28 to 507 of the family's 1533-position model. The record is from RNAcentral.
GAUGAACGCUGGCGGCGUGCUUAACACAUGCAAGUCGAACGAUGAAGCCCAGCUUGCUGGGUGGAUUAGUGGCGAACGGGUGAGUAACACGUGAGUAACCUGCCCUUAACUCUGGGAUAAGCCUGGGAAACUGGGUCUAAUACCGGAUAGGAGCGUCCACCGCAUGGUGGGUGUUGGAAAGAUUUAUCGGUUUUGGAUGGACUCGCGGCCUAUCAGCUUGUUGGUGAGGUAGGGGCUCACCAAGGCGACGACGGGUAGCCGGCCUGGGGGGGGGACCGGCCCCGCUGGGAUGGAGAAGGGGCACGGCCCCGAACGGGAGGGGGCGGUGGGGAGUAUAACAAAAGGGGCGCGGGCCUAAGCCGGGGCCGCCGCGGGGGGGGAGAGGUCUUUGGGUUUGUAACCCUCUUCCAGUGGAAAAGAAGCGAAAGUGACGGUACCGGAAGAAGAAGCACCGGCUAACUCCGUG